This 471-nucleotide ribosomal RNA is filed under the name uncultured bacterium. RNAcentral's name for it is "bacterial SSU rRNA". It matches the Rfam family "Bacterial small subunit ribosomal RNA", at positions 28 to 466 of the family's 1533-position model. The record is from RNAcentral.
GACGAACGCUGGCGGCGUGCCUAAUACAUGCAAGUCGAGCGAGCUUGCCUAGAUGAAUUUGGUGCUUGCACCAGAUGAAACUAGAUACAAGCGAGCGGCGGACGGGUGAGUAACACGUGGGUAACCUGCCCAAGAGACUGGGAUAACACCUGGAAACAGAUGCUAAUACCGGAUAACAACACUAGACGCAUGUCUAGAGUUUAAAAGAUGGUUCUGCUAUCACUCUUGGAUGGACCUGCGGUGCAUUAGCUAGUUGGUAAGGUAACGGCUUACCAAGGCAAUGAUGCAUAGCCGAGUUGAGAGACUGAUCGGCCACAUUGGGACUGAGACACGGCCCAAACUCCUACGGGAGGCAGCAGUAGGGAAUCUUCCACAAUGGACGCAAGUCUGAUGGAGCAACGCCGCGUGAGUGAAGAAGGGUUUCGGCUCGUAAAGCUCUGUUGGUAGUGAAGAAAGAUAGAGGUAGUAACU